AGAGUAUUAAAACUAAUAUUAAAUAUGAAAAAUUUUCUUCGAAAAAAAUAUUUAAAAAAAUUAAUUAACUAAAAGGAACUCGGCAAAUUUUGUUGCUUCGCCUGUUUAUCAAAAACAUGGCUCUCUGCUUAUACAUAUAGAGAGUCGAGCCUGCCCAGUGAAUUUUUUUCAACGGCCGCGGUACUCUGACCGUGCAAAGGUAGCAUAAUCAUUUGCCUUAUAAUUGAAGGCUAGUAUGAAUGGUUUGACGAGAGCAACGCUGUCUCUUUUUUAUUUUCAAGAACUUAACUUUUAGGUGAAGAGGCCUAAAUUUUAUUGAAGGACAAGAAGACCCUGUCGAGCUUAAAAGAUAUUAUAGAAGUUUAUAUAUUUUUAAAUGAAUUUUCUAUCAAGCUUUUUAGUUGGGGCGACUAAGGAACAAAAAAAGCUUCUUCUUAAUAUCAAACGGUCACGUUUAGAUCCGAUAAUAAUCGAUUGAAGAAAUUAGUUACCGCAGGGAUAACAGCAUAAUCUCUCUUGAGAGACCUAAUCGAAAGAGGGGGUUGUGACCUCGAUGUUGGACUAAAAUAUCCUAAAGAUGUAAA
This 584-nucleotide ribosomal RNA is filed under the name Hua vultuosa. RNAcentral's name for it is "partial 16S large subunit ribosomal RNA". It matches the Rfam family "Bacterial large subunit ribosomal RNA", at positions 1693 to 2559 of the family's 2925-position model. Lineage: Eukaryota; Metazoa; Mollusca; Gastropoda; Semisulcospiridae. The record is from RNAcentral.